UGAGGUAGUAAGUUGUAUUGUUA
RNAcentral lists this non-coding RNA (23 nucleotides) under Xenopus tropicalis (tropical clawed frog). Lineage: Eukaryota; Metazoa; Chordata; Amphibia; Anura; Pipidae. The record is from RNAcentral. RNAcentral also lists the same sequence under 2 other names.